GACGAACGCUGGCGGCGUGCUUAACACAUGCCAGUCGAACGGAAAGGCCCUGCUUUUGUGGGGUGCUCGAGUGGCGAACGGGUGAGUAACACGUGAGUAACCUGCCCUUGACUUUGGGAUAACUUCAGGAAACUGGGGCUAAUACCGGAUAGGAGCUCCUGCUGCAUGGUGGGGGUUGGAAAGUUUCGGCGGUUGGGGAUGGACUCGCGGCUUAUCAGCUUGUUGGUGGGGUAGUGGCUUACCAAGGCUUUGACGGGUAGCCGGCCUGAGAGGGUGACCGGCCACAUUGGGACUGAGAUACGGCCCAGACUCCUACAGGAGGCAGCAGUGGGGAAUAUUGCACAAUGGGCGGAAGCCUGAUGCAGCAACGCCGCGUGCGGGAUGACGGCCUUCGGGUUGUAAACCGCUUUCGCCUGUGACGAAGCGUGAGUGACGGUAAUGGGUAAAGAAGCACCGGCUAACUACGUG
RNAcentral lists this ribosomal RNA (468 nucleotides) under uncultured bacterium. RNAcentral describes it as "partial 16S ribosomal RNA". It matches the Rfam family "Bacterial small subunit ribosomal RNA", at positions 28 to 507 of the family's 1533-position model. The record is from RNAcentral.